ACGCUAGCUAUAGGCUUAACACAUGCAAGUCGAGGGGAAACGGCAUUAUGUGCUUGCACAUUUUGGACGUCGACCGGCGCACGGGUGAGUAUCGCGUAUCCAACCUGCCCUUUACUUGGGGAUACCCCGUUGAAAGACGGCCUAAUACCCGAUGUAAUUCAUUGAUGGCAUCAGAUAUGAAUAAAAGAUUUAUCGGUAAAGGAUGGGGAUGCGUCUGAUUAGCUUGUUGGUGAGGUAAAGGCUCACCAAGGCAACGAUCAGUAGGGGUUCUGAGAGGAAGGUCCCCCACAUUGGAACUGAGACACGGUCCAAACUCCUACGGGAGGCAGCAGUGAGGAAUAUUGGUCAAUGGGCGCAAGCCUGAACCAGCCAAGUAGCGUGCAGGAAGACGGCCCUAUGGGUUGUAAACUGCUUUUAUACGAGAAUAAUUUGAUGCACGUGUGCGUUAUUGCGUGUAUCGUAUGAAUAAGGACCGGCUAAUUCCGUGCCAGCAGCCGCGGUAAUACGGAAGGUCCAGGCGUUAUCCGGAUUUAUUGGGUUUAAAGGGAGUGUAGGCGGUUUGUUAAGCGUGUUGUGAAAUUUAGGUGCUCAACAUUUAACUUGCAGCGCGAACUGUCAGACUUGAGUACACGCAACGUAUGCGGAAUUCAUGGUGUAGCGGUGAAAUGCUUAGAUAUCAUGAAGAACUCCGAUUGCGAAGGCAGCAUACGGGAGUGUAACUGACGCUUAAGCUCGAAGGUGCGGGUAUCGAACAGGAUUAGAUACCCUGGUAGUCCGCACAGUAAACGAUGGAUGCCCGCUGUUAGCGCCUGGCGUUAGCGGCUAAGCGAAAGCAUUAAGCAUCCCACCUGGGGAGUACGCCGGCAACGGUGAAACUCAAAGGAAUUGACGGGGGCCCGCACAAGCGGAGGAACAUGUGGUU
This 922-nucleotide ribosomal RNA is filed under the name uncultured bacterium. RNAcentral describes it as "bacterial SSU rRNA". It matches the Rfam family "Bacterial small subunit ribosomal RNA", at positions 33 to 946 of the family's 1533-position model. The record is from RNAcentral.